Oncorhynchus kisutch (coho salmon) is the source of this 9290-nucleotide long non-coding RNA. RefSeq lists it as uncharacterized. The record is from RefSeq and is a predicted model, not a curated record. Lineage: Eukaryota; Metazoa; Chordata; Actinopteri; Salmoniformes; Salmonidae. The transcript has 3 exons.
GCUAAAAUGCACACAUAGGUAUGGUUAUGAAUGAGUUAGCUGUCCAUGCAAUUUUUUUUUUUUAAAGCCGCUUUAUUUUUUUAAAUAUAUUGUGUUAUCUUGAAAAAAGGCUGUCAUCACUUUUAAUCGCUGUAGUGUGUUGUAGGCUGCUAGCGUUUGGGUAGUUUCGCUGGCUAACAUUAACUGUCUAUUAUCAACUAGCUAGCGUCAUCAUGUUUAAACGUUAAUAAUUAGCAAGCUAGCUUGUACAACAGUGGGUGGGGGGGCUGCUAGUUACCUAGCAUUUCACAAUGUUAUCAGAGCUUGUCCUGAAGCCAAAGCUACCAACUUUCUGGUGGUUACAAAGAAGAUAGGAAAGAGGUCGAGAGCUAGUUAGACUAAUUAUUCUAUCUAUCUACAGUACUGACCGUUUGUGCACUGUUGAGCUAGCAAUAGCCAGCACAUGCCUCCUUGACCCGAACCUACUUACUAGAUGCCUGGCUUCUAUGUGUAACGUACACUUGUUCAUGCCUAUCCAGCCCUAAUUUACCUCCAGAGAUACGGGUUUAUCUAAAACAUUUUGGAGCAAACUUAAGUCGCCAGUACGAUAACUAGAGUAAUUAGCUAGCCUACUUAAAUGGACAAUCUGAGGUUUCUACAAUCAUUUUUAGACCUUUUAAAUACAUUUUUAUGUAGGAUACCCAUUGAUUAUUGAAUGUAACUCGUAGAUGCCUCAUGAGCCUAAUUCAACUGUCAUACCCAUCAGAACCUGUCAGGUGGUAAAGUCAAACCAAAGAGUAAAUACACCAGACAUGAACAUCACCAAAAAUACAUUUAGCAUGGAGGACUCCGGUCGAGGAGCCAGCUACACAGUGCCCUGUGACGACUACGUCCAUGUGGUGGAGUUUAGCCCAUUUGACAGUGGCUCAGUUGCGUCCCUCUUGGCCUAUUGAGGAAACCAAUAUGUGGUUGUAGGCACCUGCUGCUUCCAGGUGAGUGGUAGCCUGCCAGAUUCCUCUUCCUCAUGUCUUCUUUUCUAGCCUCCCUUCUCAAAAGGCAUCAGAAGAGAAGAUCCUCCCAAGGUUCCUCUCUGAGGAGGCAUGGUUAGGGGACACAAGGAAAUGAGCCAGUGUUUUGGUUCCAUGUGUGAUGUAAACCACUGCUGUAUGUGUGACUUGAACCACUGUUUGAGCAGGAGGAGGACAUGGAGGUAGAGGGGGUUGAAUUCACCACACUGCGUUUUUUCCAUCAUGUGUUACGUAUGGAUUGCCUCGCAUGGAGCCCUGAGUCUCGGCUGGACAACCUGCCCCAACUCAUCAGGUAGCCUACCUUAAACCUUUAAGUUCUUACAGCUGUCUUCUGUCUUUACAGAAGUCCUGGAGUGCCCUGCAGUAAGUAACACCUGAUUCAGCUCAUCAUGGUGCAGACUGAUGACGUGGUUAGUUGGUUAUUUGGACCAGCCACUGCUGUGAGUUGAAGCUGCGCUACUGUUUUUCUUUCUUAAUCUCUCUAUGUAAAAUGUAUUUAUAAAGCCAUUUUAUAUCAGCAGAUGUCACAAAGGUCUUAUACAGAAACCCAGCCUAAAACCCCAAAGAGCGAGCAAGCAAGCAGGAGAGGGCGAGAGGGAUACUUAAGACCACACAGGACUCCAAUAAGACAGGAGAAAAACAUCAGAUAGGACAGACCCACCCUAGCCCCCUGGCAGACUGUUGCAGCAUAGAUAUUGGGGACUGAGACGGAGGGGUCGGGAGACACUGUGGCCCUAUCCCACGAUACCCCCAGACAGGGCCACCCACUUUGCCAAAGCACAGCCUCCACACCACCAGAUGGAUAUCAACAGACCACCAACUUACUACCCUGAGACAAGGCGAGGUAUAGCCCGCAAAGUUCUCCCCCACUACACGAGCCCGAGGGGGCACAAGACCAGACAGGAAGAUAACAUCAGUGACUCAACCCACUCAAAUCAAGUAUAGCGAAACGAGCCUGGCAAGACGUGAUCCACCCCUCCGACUAACGACAUGGGAGUGCACUAGCAAGCCAUACUCACCCCCGUAAUAGGGUCAGUGGAGAGAAUCCCGGUGGAGAGAGAGGAGCCGGCCAGGUAGAGACAGCAAGGGUGGUUCAUCACUCCAAUGCGUUGCUGUUCACCUUCGCAUCCCUGGUUUCAGACUACACUCAAUCAUAGGACCUACUGAAGAGAUGAGUAUUCAAUAAAGACUGAAAGGUUGAGACCGUUUCUGCAUCUCUCAUAUGGAUCAGUAGACCAUUCCAUAACAAUGGAGCUCCAUAGGAGAAAGCCCUGCCUCCAGCUGUUUGCUUAGAAAUUCUAAGAACAUUGAGGCCUGUGUCUUGUGAACGUCGGGUAUGUGUAGGUAUGUAUGGCUGGACCACCUGCUUAUCCCAGAGCCAUAUAUUUACCUAAAUAUGUCUCUGUAUCAUCCAUCUACACCAACUCUGUGUCAGUCAGUGGUAUGAAACCCUCAGUAGUCUUGGCCCAGCUGUAUUCUUGUCUGUGGCCCACUGUAGUGGUGGAAUACCAACCCAGUUAUUUCAGGUGUGGUUUGAUUUUUUUUAAAGGAUGUUGAACGUUAUUACAUAGAAAGCAAGGUUUUCCUCUUAAUUGGAAUGGUGGAUGGGAAUGCUGUAAUCCCGCAGGAGAUGUUUCCAAGUUGCUUUAAUUGAAAGGGAAAGGCAGUGAUACUUCCUGACCUUUCGUGGUGAAGUCUGCAGGGCCCUGGGGGCUGGCGUGUGACGUGCGCACGUGUUAUUGCACUGAUGGCUCCCCCUCUCAAGUUUCGUCCCUCCCCUAGUUUUGCACGUAGUUAUGCCUUCCAGGAAAAGCAGUGUUCUCACGGGCGUGCCUGAGGCAGGGGCCGGCAAGGGUGCUAAGAGGAGGGGGGGUAGGGGGCUUACGCUGGGAGGCUCCCAGAUUCUACCAGGCCAGCCAUGUGAGGUCCAGUCAGCAAACUCUAGGUAGAUUCUGGGGAACUGUCAGGAACACUUCCCCAGCAUCAGCUCAGGGCCAAAACAGACCCAGUCAUUAGUCAACCCUGUGACAUUGACAAGUCUUUGAAGAUUGUCUCAUGAAGAAAUGUUCUCGGACUUGGCACCUGUUCUUUCAUUGAUAAUAGUCCUGCAGUGUAGGCUAAAUCUAGAUAGCUAGUUCAUAUUGCAAGACUGUGAAGUAUGUAUUGAAUUAGAGGUUUGAUGAUAACUCUUUGGCAAUGCCUAGAAAUUGAGUUGAAUGAAGGGUGAAAUGCCCUCCACAAUUCACUGACUACUAGGCUAUGUAUCAGUUGUUGGUAUAAUCACCUGUACCAGUUGCUUGGGGGAAUAUUCUGGCUGUGUAUCGUGACAUUAUGCCAAAUCCGUCUGUUCCUGCAACUGCAAAUGUGUGAAAAUGCGUCUGUUUUUCUUGAAAUAUGUGUUUUGCUUGCGAUAUGUGUGUUUUUCUUGUCAUAAGUGAGUUAGUGUAAUUGUGUAAGUAAUUGCAGGCGCUGGUAUAUACUACGACUGAUUAGAGGCAAAGUCAUCUCCCAGGUGUUAGAAAUGCUCAGAUGGCGUGAGGAAUCUUUGUUUUUCUCCAUGUUUAUCUUCGCAAUUAGAAUCUCCCUGGCAGUGUUUCCAUUGAUCCAUGUCCAAGUCUUUACCACACACACACAUCCAAAGGUGUCAGCCCGGACUGCAGUGCAGUCAGACGCAUAGACAUGUACGUGUGCCCGAGUGCGUGUACGCAUGUCUUAUAGUAGGAUGGGCUCUGUUUUGAUGUUCUUUCUUUGUUUGUUUUUCUCUCUCUCUGUCUUUCCCACCAGAUUUUGCACUGCUGCAGCAGACAGAAAAGUGAGGCUGUUAACUUCUGAUCUUCAGAAUCAACAUGAAGUCAAGGUAGAAUACUGGAGCCCCUGCCCUCACGACUAGAUCCCACUGUCCCACUGCAACUACUGCACCUGUCAGUUCAGUUGGCAUCUGGUUUCUUAAAAACAAACCGUUUGUAUAUAGCACACUGACAGUAGGCACUUAGUGAAUGGCUUUUAUAUUAGCCUAAUCAAGAACCCAGCGCACACAAGGAGCCAGGGAACUGUCAUACAGUCUAUGGGAGGCUCGCACCAAAUGCAGCGUUUUGUUAAUUGUAUCUUCUGUGGCGAUGUAUGGGUGGUUGUCUAGGUGAUGGAGGGUCACACCAGCUACAUCAACCACUUAGUGUUUGAACCCACGGAAGGGAAACAAAUGGCUUCGGUCAGCGAUGACCAUACAUGCAGGUCAGUCCGAACCUCCUCCCGGUCUCAUUCAGCAAGAAUAAUAUGAGUGUGUGAGAGUGUCUUCCCCCAGCUCUUGGAUCUGUGUUCUGUUCUCUGUUAAUGGUGCAGAACGUCCUGACUGUGUUUCCAAAAUGAAACCCAAUGCUUAGCACAACACACCCCGGUGUUGCCGUGCGUAAGCACACAGCCGCUUCUCCAGCUUUUUAAAGUAAUUGGUUAAAUAUGGAAAUCCAAUUAGCUGCGGUACUGGUGGAGGUUGUUCCCCUCCUUAGGGUUGACUCUUAACAAGGUCCCCCAAUGUGGCCUAUCAAUCAGUAGCUAGGUAGUGGAGCAAGGAAGGAAAGAGUGUGCCGUUAGCCAAAGGGGUAACCUGGGCACAGGAGGUUAGUGGUACCUUAAUUUGGGAGAGCGGGCUCAUGGUAAUGACUUGAGCAGAAUCAGUGGAAUGGUAUCAAAUCCAUGGUUUCCAGGUGUUUGCUAUUCCAUUAGUUCCGUUCCGGCUAUUAUUAUGAGCCGUUCUCCCCUCAGCAGCCUCCACUGAACCUGAGGGGACCUCCUGUUACCUUAGUAACUAGGGUUGUUGCUAGGGUCUAGACAGGGCGAAAGCCUGGCCCAAAUCCUACUCCCUCUUUGCUCCUUCCCACACAAUGUGAGCUCUUAUUGUUUGACCAGUGAUUGAUGGGGGAGAACGUUUAAUCAAGUUAGCAACUUAGAAAUGAAUGACUGGCCCCUACUUUUCUCUCCGCUAGAGCCUGAAAGAGCACGUCCCUCAUAUCCAUCUUUAAACCCAAAGCUCCCUGGAUGAGAAACGCACCUGAAACAUCUGCUUCUAUUCAUAAACUCAUAAUUUCAGGAGCCUGAAGCUCGCGGUUACACUUCCAGUCAUCAAAUACAGGCCAUGGUUGAAUUAUCUCCUCAAUCUCCUUCCGCCCUGCUUAAAUGCUCUAAAGUGUUGGUUAGGAUGAGGGCUGUGGGGAGAGAGAGGCCUCCGCUAGGGCUGGUGAUGAAGCUCUGCUACUGCGAGAAACAUCAGCUCACAGUUCUCCCUCAGCCUCCCUCUAUAAUGGUCUGGCCAGAGAAAACAGGGGUACGCUCUCUCGGCUCCAUCUGCAGAAAGAUUUAGAUUCUGUCACGUUGAGAAAAUAUGGGACGCAGGAGAAAGAGUGGGGUGGAACUAGGGAAAGAUCAAGUUAACAGGAGAGGGGCCUUCCAGGCAGCCCACACAAACUGAGACCCCUGAUAGGGUGAGAGAAAAGAACAGUGGACCGGCUUCUCUACUUGCGUGCGUGUUCGUACACUUGGCAAGUUGUCCUACCAUAACUCUGCUUUGUUCUUUGUCAGCCCUGUCCUUUCCUGCGUGGGAACUCUACUCCAGCCGGAGAGGCCACCUGUAGCAGCUAGAAGGAGGUCACAGCCUCCCACUGAGGUCAGAGUGUCUGCCAGAGGUCCCAACCUCUCUGGGCUCGGCUCCCAUUGUGUCUCAUAGCUUCCAGUUGGAUUUGCAGUAGGUAUGUUUCUGUUGUGUGAGAUGGAUUCCUCACUUCAGCCAGCUCUGGUUUCGUGUUGACAUGGAUCAGCAGAAUACAGCUUACUCAAGGGGCUUGAACAGAGACACCUGCUGCAACUAUUUGAUGUGCGAGAUCUACUCUGUGUGUCAUAUUUUUGGGCAGUAUUUCUGAGGCGUUAUCACAACAGUUUGAGCCUUUCUCCCCACUCUAGCCCGUCAGUCAAGCUAUCUGUCAGUUAGUAUGUCCAUGUCCACUCUACACAUCCCAGUCUUUCAUCUCCUUGUUUCUCCUUUUCUUCUCAUGUUCUCAAGCUUUUUUUGCUCCGUGCUACGGGAUCCCAUCAUCAACUCUAGCGAGAGGAGCAAACCGAUCCAAUAAAAAUGACUAAUGGCCGAGAUAAUUAUUUCAACAGUCCAAAUGUCUGCUAAAGAACAUGUUAUUGUUCAAGACACUUGAGCAGGUCUGGUCAAGAUGGAUGUUGGUGUGGUUUUGAGGAGAGGAGGACGGCGUGCUGUGCUCCUCUGCCUGGACUCCCCUGUGAGGCUCUGAGGUGUGAUUACUGUUUGUCUUUCUCAACCCUCGUUCUGCCGAGAGUCGCCAAGGUUAUUUACCCUGCACACUCUCAUAAUUUAGUUCACACGGUGCACUCUACGUUUCCCAUUUCCUCCGCUCAUUUGGAAACCGUUGACCGAAAUGAAAAGGUGCGGCUGCUGUUGUCUCACUCACAUCUACACGCAGACUUCAAAUGCAGUCUCGCCUUUCAACUCUAUUUUACAUGAAGCCCAGUGUUAAUGCUUGAUGUCACGUCAGCUGUAGUGUUAUGCAAUUACACAUCUCUUUGUCAGUGGUGGUCUCCGUCUUGUUUCUUGCCCCCUUUCACCUUGUUCAGCAAGGAUUACAUUGAAACAUUUUUAAAAUCAUAAUCUUUCCCCAUUUGAAGGGCAAAGUGGUGGACCACAACUUGGCCGCAUGCGGCGUAGCGUGCGAUUGAACUCUGCUUGGCGAGUGGUCUGAGAAGAGAGGGUUUAUGCUUGUUUGUCUGCUGUGGUCUGAGGUUUCCAACCUCGCUCAUGCUCUAUGGAGGAGGGUCUGCACCGCACUCUACAUAGGGCCAUUCUGACUUCUGUGUUGUGUCAAGAAGCAAAAGCUCUCAUGGAGAAAUGUUUUAUCCCCUGCAGGGAAGACACAGGAAAAGUUGUGUUUGUUUAAUGAGGUCUUCAUCUGGGAUGGGGCAAAAUCAUAUCCUCUCCGCCGCGACUCUGCAGACAUCUCUCCAACAUGUUUGACAUUUAGACAGGCUUUGGGUCUUUAUUAGAUGUCUUCUGCAUGACCUCAUCAGUCAACGCAUUCACAUCGGUCCCAACCAUACAGUCCUUUAAAAAACAUGUUUUAACUACUUGCAAGUUUAUUCCUCCCUGGUUCAGGGGAAUGUUCUGUUAGAUACGAGGCCUUGUGUUCGCUGAGGAGGGCUCUCAAAUGUGGCUGAAGAGUAGAUCCUGGUCUUGGGAGCAGCCUGUCUUCUCCAAGUGAUUUAUUACAUCCGGGCGCACGUUUGCCUUGUCCUCUGCCUUCUCGCUCGUCGGUGCAGGGCCCCGCCCGCCUGUCUUCACAGCUCAAGGGGGAGAUUACAACCAAGAUCCCUUUUUCCCUGAAAGAAGGGCAGUACUAGUGAGGCUCUGUGUGCGCAUCUCUUGGACAACUGACAGAAGUUAGAUAAAUUACACACAGGCAUUACGUGCUUUCAGAAAAACACUGGCAUCACUACAGGCCUGGUGUGUGCUGCUCACUCAUUAGAGUACAUUCCCGAAGAGAGUCUCUCAGACACCUGGGGAAAGGUGGGUUUGGAUGGAAGCUUGUAACUUUUUUGACAUGGAUCCUGUGAGACAAAAACAGCCAGCCAGCCAUGAUGUCUUUGUUGUUUUUCAUAUUUUUAGCUGCCAUUAGCGUGUGUAAUCCUUUGUUUUGUGUGCUGUCAGCACCAAGGCGUCUGCCUGCGCUGUGCUGCGCGUCAUCUCCUCUCCCCACACAGGGGGUGGCUGGACUCCGGAAGCUAUUUUUAGCAUUGCCGCGUGUCCCACUCCAGCACAGCUAAUUGAGUGCUUAUUAAUUUUGUUUUUUGGACUUGAUAAUUUCUCAUUUUUGACAGGAACUGUUUUAUCUGAAGCUUCGGACCGGGUUGUUUUUUUGAAUCGCAGACUUCCUGUCUGAGGUUGUUUUCUAAACGGGUAGUUGAGGACAGGAGAAUAAUUUUCUUACAGUCCUUAAACGGUUCAUUUCCCCUGAGCACACCCCCUCUCCCUUUCAUGCCAGAUGGCCUCUCAGUAACAGUGCAUUCCAGUUUCAUAAUGAGAGUUUAAAUAAUUAGUGAGAGUGAAAAGUUCUAGUGUGGGAGUGAAAAGAUCUAGUGUGGGAGUGAAAAGAUCUAGUGUGGGAGUGAAAAGAUCUAGUGUGGGAGUGAAAAGAUCUUGCCAUACUAAACCUUGAUCCUCUGUACAGCUGAUGGUGGCCGAGAAGAAGGGACGAUCCGCUUCUAUGACCUAGUUACCCAGCAAGCCAUUCUUUCUCUGGAUUGCGGCCAGUCGCCACUCAUGUCGGCUGACUGGUGCCUCGCCAACACCAUCAAGGUGGGCGCGGUGACGGGCAGCGACUGGGUCAUCUGUGAUAUUACCCGCUCCAGGUGAGUGGCAGGACAGAUGCUUGUGACCGACUGGGUUUGAAACCGGGUCUCUAGCACGCCAAAAUACUUUGUUAGCCCCAAGAGCUUUAUUCCCACACCCAGCUAACACAAGUCUUAAUGUCUCAGACAAGGUUACCCAUCACCUCAGUUACAUACUGUGUAACACUACUGUAUGAAGGCAUGGGUUUUGUUUGUAGUUACCCACAAGAGAAGAGGCCUGCCCAUGUAGAACGAGUAGGAAACUUCAGAUAACUGCUUUGUCCAUGCUUCCAAGGUCAUUUCUAUCUGGUAUCAUUGGAAUGUCCCUCCCACAUUGAAAAUGAAAUGGUUAUGGUAAGGUUUAUGGUUAGGGUAGAGGGUAGGAAUGUCCCAAGGAUCCUGAAUGCUUCCAAUUACUCUGACCUUCAGAGUAUUGUGAUGCAUGUUGUGGUUGUCCGGCUGAUACCGCUGCUGCCGACGACGUCCAUGUUAAUGGCUGUGGUGAUGGUGAUAAUGGUGAAGGCAAUUACUGUAACCACGGGUGUCAUGGUCUUCCAGGUGGUCUCGGGUCAAUGAGAAUCUCUUCUCCACAACAUGAUGUCCAGGCAAGAUCAGCAGUCAGUUACUAGUGCAUCACCUGGGUCACCCGCAGCCCGUGAUGAUUGGAUCAGCCACGGUGGGGGCAGGUCUAAACUGGCAGAGGUCCCUCCCACUCUGUGUCAUUGGCGGUGACCGAAAGCUCACUUUUUGGAUGACAGAAAUGUAAUGCAGUCACUUCCUAUGGACAUAUUAGAGGUAAUGCAAAUGUACAUUGAAACUGUUUGACCCGAGGUGUGGUCGGAUAUUUCUAUUUUCAUCAUUUUUCAAUAAAGUAUUUAAUUUUCCAUG